This 401-nucleotide long non-coding RNA is filed under the name Mytilus galloprovincialis (Mediterranean mussel). Lineage: Eukaryota; Metazoa; Mollusca; Bivalvia; Mytilida; Mytilidae. The record is from RNAcentral.
GCAAAAUCGUUCAGUAAAGUAAGAACUUCAAACACAUCACCAUCACCAAAAUACAAUUUUGUCAUGAAUCCAUUUGUGUCCUUUGUUUAAUAUGCACAUAGACCAAGGUGAGCGACACAGGCUCUUUAGAGCCUCUAGUUUCACUAUAAAUUUAAAUGUCCAAUUGAAUAAACUCCACAGAGAACAAUAGCUAUUGUAUUCAUCCAAUGGGACAGUAUAACAUGAAUAAUAUUGAACUUAUUCUGGGGAAAAGUUUUACUCCUUUUGCAUUCAGUUUAUAAAGAACAUUGCUCUUUUUCAUUCAUUCACUGAUUUAAAAUAAAGUGUAAGGCAUUCUGCAAUGAUUAAGGCAAUCAACUCUGAUAUUGAAAAGUAGACAUUUCAAUAAAAAUUAAAGACAA